This 715-nucleotide unclassified non-coding RNA is filed under the name Bombus terrestris (buff-tailed bumblebee). RNAcentral's name for it is "misc RNA ENSBTSG00005030305.1". The record is from RNAcentral. Lineage: Eukaryota; Metazoa; Arthropoda; Insecta; Hymenoptera; Apidae.
CCGUUUUGCUGAUUGCAUGUCAAAACAAUGAUUUUGCAUUUUAACCUCCAAAACCAUAAAGAGUGCGUCCUUGUCUCUUCAAAGCGUAUACAACAUCCAUAGCCGUCACAGUCUUCCGUUUAGCGUGUUCGGUGUACGUAACCGCAUCACGAAUAACGUUUUCUAGAAAAACUUUUAAGACACCCCGAGUUUCCUCGUAAAUCAAGCCAGAUAUGCGUUUAACACCACCACGACGAGCCAAGCGACGAAUUGCUGGUUUCGUGAUACCCUGGAUGUUAUCACGAAGUACCUUCCUAUGACGCUUCGCUCCUCCCUUUCCCAAUCCCUUUCCUCCCUUUCCACGACCAGUCAUAUUGAAAAAUUUACUGGUUACUAGUGAAAGAUUUUGUCCUGAUGAUUAUCACUUCAAUAUCAACGUUACCACUAAGGUUACUAAAUUCGUCUCUGGUGUCGCAUCGAGUGCCAGCGCUUUUAUACUUUCGAACAGAAUCUCCGGAGCUAUGCUGUUGAGACCCUACCCCACCAACUACAUAUCACAUGGGCAGUCAAGUCAGCAAAGGGAUCUCCCCUCCGUUUUGCAGUUGCCCAGGUGUAUCCCUUGCAUAUUUUCUGAGAACAAAAGACCCGCCGGCACACCGUCUACCAAUCCGCCUUUAGAUAUUUGAAUUUGCGUUGCUUCCAUACAUACACUAAAUCAAAAGAUAUUUAUAGGUAC